AUGGUAGGAUAGAGGCCUACCAUGGUGGUAACGGGUAACGGGGUGUUAGGGCACGACACCGGAGAGGGAGCCUGAGAAACGGCUACCACAUCCAAGGAUGGCAGCAGGCGCGCAAAUUACCCAAUCCCGACACGGGGAGGUAGUGACAAUAAAUAACAAUACGGGGUUCUUUAGGAUCUCGUAAUUGGAAUGAGUACAAUUUAAAUCUCUUAACGAGGAACAAUUGGAGGGCAAGUCUGGUGCCAGCAGCCGCGGUAAUUCCAGCUCCAAUAGCGUAUAUNAAAGUUGUUGCAGUUAAAAAGCUCGUAGUUGAAUUUCGGGGUCAGUAGGUCGGUCGUGCCACUGGUAUGAACUGGUUUUACUGAUUCCUCCCUCUUGAAGAACUGUAAUGCCAUUAAUUUGGUGUUGCAGGGAAUCAGGACUGUUACUUUGAAAAAAUUAGAGUGUUUAAAGCAGGCUUUAGCUUGAAUACAUUAGCAUGGAAUAAUGAAAUAGGACGUUUGAUCCUAUUUUGUUGGUUUCUAGGAUUGACGUAAUGAUUAAUAGGGAUAGUUGGGGGCAUUAGUAUUCAAUUGUCAGAGGUGAAAUUCUUGGAUUUAUUGAAGACUAACUACUGCGAAAGCAUUUGCCAAGGAUGUUUUCAUUAAUCAAGAACGAAAGUUAGGGGAUCGAAGACGAUCAGAUACCGUCGUAGUCUUAACCAUAAACUAUGCCGACUAGGGAUCGGAUGAUGUUAAUUUUUUAAUGGCUCAUUCGGCGCCUUACGGGAAACCAAAGUGUUUGGG
RNAcentral lists this ribosomal RNA (785 nucleotides) under uncultured Glomus. Its description in RNAcentral is "SSU rRNA". It matches the Rfam family "Eukaryotic small subunit ribosomal RNA", at positions 325 to 1111 of the family's 1831-position model. The record is from RNAcentral. Lineage: Eukaryota; Fungi; Glomeromycota; Glomeromycetes; Glomerales; Glomeraceae.